This 400-nucleotide ribosomal RNA is filed under the name phytoplankton environmental sample. Its description in RNAcentral is "partial small subunit ribosomal RNA". It matches the Rfam family "Eukaryotic small subunit ribosomal RNA", at positions 587 to 978 of the family's 1831-position model. The record is from RNAcentral.
AGCUCCAAUAGCGUAUAUUAAAAUUGUUGCAGUUAAAAAGCUCGUAGUUGGAUUUCAGGAUGGAGUAUUGGGUGGGCCCUCUAGGGCUCAACUCAAUGAAUCCACCUCGUAAGUCGGUAAGUUGCACUGAUCGCUCUUCAUUGAGUGUCAGUGUGCACGACAUGUUUACUUUGAAAAAAUUAGAGUGCUCAAAGCAGACCAUUUAUGAGUCUGAAUAGUGGUGCAUGGAAUAAUAGAAAAGGACUCUGGUACUAUUUUGUUGGUUUUCAGUAUUACACCAGAGUAAUGAUUAAAAGGAGUAGAACGGGGGCAGAAGUAUGGCCACGAUAGAGGUGAAAUUCUUGGACCGUGGCCAGACUAACUACUGCGAAAGCAUUUGCCAAGGAUGCUUUCAUUAAUC